This 420-nucleotide ribosomal RNA is filed under the name Fusobacteriota bacterium. RNAcentral describes it as "Fusobacteria bacterium partial 16S ribosomal RNA". It matches the Rfam family "Bacterial small subunit ribosomal RNA", at positions 355 to 776 of the family's 1533-position model. The record is from RNAcentral. Lineage: Bacteria; Fusobacteriati; Fusobacteriota.
UGGGGAAUAUUGCACAAUGGACGGAAGUUUGAUGCAGCGACGCCGCGUGGAGGGUGUAGGCCUUCGGGUUGUGAACUCCUUUUUCUCGCGAAAAAGGCACAGUUUUGGCUGUGUUGAUGGUAGUGGGGGAAGAAGCGCCGGCUAACUACGUGCCAGCAGCCGCGGUAAUACGUAGGGCGCGAGCGUUGUCCGGAUUUAUUGGGCGUAAAGGGUUCGCAGGCGGAAAUGCAAGUCAGUUGUGAAAGGCAGAGGCUCAACCUCUGUAAGCAAUUGAAACUGUAUUUCUUGAGAUGUGGAGAGGCAAGUGGAAUUCCUAGUGUAGCGGUGAAAUGCGUAGAUAUUAGGAAGAAUACCGGUGGCGAAGGCGACUUGCUGGACACAAACUGACGCUGAGGAACGAAAGCGUGGGUAGCAAACAGG